GACAGAGGGUGCAAACGUUGCUCGGAAUCACUGGGCGUAAAGCGCACGUAGGCGGGUCUUUAAGUCGGGGGUGAAAUCCUGGAGCUCAACUCCAGAACUGCCUUCGAUACUGAGGAUCUCGAGUCCGGGAGAGGUGAGUGGAACUCCGAGUGUAGAGGUGAAAUUCGUAGAUAUUGGGAAGAACACCAGUGGCGAAGGCGGCUCACUGGCCCGUAACUGACGCUGAGGUGCGAAAGCGUGGGGAGCAAACAGG
RNAcentral lists this ribosomal RNA (253 nucleotides) under uncultured bacterium. RNAcentral's name for it is "partial 16S ribosomal RNA". It matches the Rfam family "Bacterial small subunit ribosomal RNA", at positions 524 to 776 of the family's 1533-position model. The record is from RNAcentral.